GAUCAUGGCUCAGGAUGAACGCUAGCUACAGGCUUAACACAUGCAAGUCGAGGGGCAGCAUGUUGGUUGCUUGCAACCAACGAUGGCGACCGGCGCACGGGUGAGUAACGCGUAUCCAACCUUCCGCAUACUCGGGAAUAGCCUUUCGAAAGAAAGAUUAAUGCCCGAUGGUUUCCCGAAUCCGCAUGAGAGCGGGAAUAAAGAUUACAUCGGUAUGCGAUGGGGGAUGCGU
This 232-nucleotide ribosomal RNA is filed under the name uncultured bacterium. RNAcentral describes it as "partial 16S ribosomal RNA". It matches the Rfam family "Bacterial small subunit ribosomal RNA", at positions 15 to 236 of the family's 1533-position model. The record is from RNAcentral.